This is a long non-coding RNA of Oreochromis niloticus (Nile tilapia), 650 nucleotides long. RefSeq lists it as uncharacterized. The record is from RefSeq and is a predicted model, not a curated record. The transcript is spliced from 3 exons. NCBI's taxonomy places the organism in Eukaryota, Metazoa, Chordata, Actinopteri, Cichliformes, Cichlidae.
UCAGAAGACAUUUGUUUAAAUACUUCUAGAAAUCUGAGCUGUUGGUGUGGUAAUAAUAUUAGAGCUGGCAAUCUUUCUUACUGAAUCUCUACUCUGAGUCAUGUUACCUGAGAUUAAUUCUAUGUUUACCUGACAGCCUGGACAAAUGUGUUGUGUGAAGGAUGUAAAUCAAAUCAGAUCUUAACUGCUUACAUUUAAGGAGCCUGGUCAUAUUUAAUUGUAAUAUGAACCAAUGAUUUUCUGAUUGCUGAUUCUAAGAGAGUCUUUGUGGAAAUCCUGUUUGGCUUUUUGUCAUUUUACUUCUCUUUUCCGUUUGCCAGAACAGUUCUCCACAGUCGCUGUCCACAUGGGUCAGUGGGACCAAGCAGCACUCUGCUAAUGUGUGGACUCUGUCCAGCAACAUCCAGCAAGACCCAGGCAGCGUUUUCUAUCUCCCAGCUGCAGUUUUUUGUUUGUCUGUGACUGGAGAGUCAGAUUUUUGUUGAAGCUGGAGGAACAGAGAGGUUAAUACACGCUACUGAUCCCUGAUGGGAGAAUCAUCACCUCUGCCAACAAAGAAGCCUGGUGGAUAUUUGUUUGCAGUCUGAUGAUGGGACCUCAUGCUCUGCAUCUUCAAUUCUUUUUGCAGGAUCAGAAAACAAAACCAGGAG